This 497-nucleotide ribosomal RNA is filed under the name uncultured bacterium. RNAcentral describes it as "partial 16S ribosomal RNA". It matches the Rfam family "Bacterial small subunit ribosomal RNA", at positions 899 to 1397 of the family's 1533-position model. The record is from RNAcentral.
ACUCAAAUGAAUAGACGGGGGCCCGCACAAGCGGCGGAGCAUGUUGCUUAAUUCGAGGCAACGCGAAGAACCUUACCUGGAUUGAACUACGCAGGAAAAGCCACAGAGAUGUGGUGUCCUUCGGGGCCUGUGAUAGGUGGUGCAUGGCUGUCGUCAGCUCGUGUCGUGAGAUGUUGGGUUAAGUCCCGCAACGAGCGCAACCCUUAUCGUAUGUUGCCAGCGCGUAAUGGCGGGGACUCGUACGAGACUGCCGGGGUCAACUCGGAGGAAGGUGGGGACGACGUCAAGUCAUCAUGCCCCUUAUGUCCAGGGCUGCAAACAUGCUACAAUGGCCGGUACAAAGGGCUGCUAUACCGCGAGGUUGAGCGAAUCCCAUAAAGCCGGUCUCAGUUCGGAUUGGAGUCUGCAACUCGACUCCAUGAAGCUGGAGUCGCUAGUAAUCCCGGAUCAGCAACGCCGGGGUGAAUACGUUCCCGGGCCUUGCACACACCGCCCGU